This 1189-nucleotide unclassified non-coding RNA is filed under the name Rhagoletis pomonella (apple maggot). RNAcentral describes it as "oxysterol-binding protein-related protein 11, transcript variant X2". Lineage: Eukaryota; Metazoa; Arthropoda; Insecta; Diptera; Tephritidae. The record is from RNAcentral.
UCUGUGUUGCACAAGAUGCAUUCUUGUCAAAUUGACAACUAAAAAUUCUGGCAGCUGCCUUUUCGGUGCAUUUGCGUUUUGCUUCUAAAAUUUUCAAUUAUUUUGUUUUCCUCCAAAAUUUGCAAAAAUUCUUCGUAAAAUCAAAUUAACGUUACAGCAUCGUAAAAGAAAAUCGAAACAUAAACAACAAAUACAAACGGAAGGUCCCGGAAGUGUUUCAAUAGUUGCCAUUGGAGAAGUGGUUACAGCCAUAGAUAAAUCAACAAACGGAAUCGGUGACAUCCCCAACAUGGAUAAUACAAAUCUCAACCGAGUGCUAAAUCAAACCUUACGUCAUCCACUACAUGGGCUGCUUUUCAAAUACACCAAUGUCAUGAAAGGCUGGCAGUACCGUUGGUUCACGGUUGACGCGCAGACCGGCACACUUAGCUACUUUUUGUGUGACUCGUCCUCGUCGGGCGAUGAAGCAACGCCAUCAGCACAGGUUUUGGCUAGUGCGCCGCGAGGUCAAGUACAGCUGGCAGGUGCUGUAGUCUGCCCAAGUGACGAAGAUUCACGCACAUUUUCCAUAGGCUGUGCCUCUGGCGAUACGCUUAAAUUGCGUGCUGCCGAUGCACGUUCACGCCAAGAAUGGGUAGAUGGUUUGCGUGCAGUUGUAGAAAGUCAUACAAAAGCAAUGGACAUUAGCAAUUCAUCACCACUGCCGCCACGAGAGUUGCUGGCCGCCUCAGAUGCGAUGGUUUCGGCGAGACAAGCACUCUACCUAACCGAACAAUGCAUGUCUAUACAUUUGAAUCAUUACAGUAAUGCAACGUUAGCGCGUACAAUUGAGAAUAUCGAAUGUGAAACAUUUUCACCGACAGAUCCGGACUUGCUUUUGCUCAAAGCCAUUUCGACAGCUAGUACACAAUGUUUGCAUCAGUGCCUGAGUCUAUUACAACGACACGAAGAGAUACACAGUACAAGUGCUGCUGAAUCGGCGGGCGCUUGCUAAUUGGAGUACACAAAUUUACAUACAUAUUUGCUACAUUUGCUACAUUCGAAGAGAACUGGAAAUUCUUUCAUAGGAGCUUCCGUACGAAAUUUGAUGGAAUUAUUAAAUACACGCACACAUCCUAAGCUUAAAACGCAAAAAAUGUGUAUUUAAAUUGUCGACAUAAAUUAUUUGAUUAUGUAAAAAUAAACAACU